Long non-coding RNA from Pezoporus flaviventris, 370 nucleotides. RefSeq lists it as uncharacterized. The record is from RefSeq and is a predicted model, not a curated record. The transcript is spliced from 3 exons. Lineage: Eukaryota; Metazoa; Chordata; Aves; Psittaciformes; Psittacidae.
CAGCCAUGUUGCUUCUGGCACACGGGGGAUAAUCAGACAGGUUGAGGUUGCAAAGCUGACUCUCCCGGCAGCCCACGUUGAAAGUGUUGGGGGCCAGAUGAAAGGCUGGAGGGGAGCAGGAUGGAGAGAGAAGGCUGUUAAUACUGCAGCAGGGUCAGCAGAAGGGAACGUCUGCCUCUAGUUUCAUUGCAAAGCCUUUUUUAGUUAAAAUUGCUGAUAAAGCAGCUCCAAAGUCUCCAGACCAAUAUAUUUGUGCUCACCUUUGGGGCCUGUCCCAGCAACCAGAAAUUAAACUAGACUGCUUGUACCUUGGAUUUGCACCUAUUGCUGCAACCCAGGGAUCAUCUUAUUACAGCAGCCACUGGAGAGG